CCUCUUUGAUACUUUUUAUUUCCUCCAGUAAAAUGAUAGUUGAUUUUGUAAAAUAUGGGAAGAGAAAAAUAUCAGAAAGUAAGGUUAAUUUCAUAACUAACUUAACAUUUCAUAUUCAAAGAAUGUUUUUAUUUUAAAAUUAUAUACUACUUUACUAAAAUUUGUUCUUAAUGAUGAAAUUUCAGUUAGUGGUGAAAAAUAUUGCAUGUAAUGUAACAUUUCAAAAAAAUAAAGGUUUUGGAUUUUAAAUAGCACUAAAGAGUGAUAUUAUCAUAAUCAAAAGGGUAACAUGAAAUGUCAGCCAAACCCCAGUUUUCCCCAUAGCGUCUUCCUUUUACUGGUCAUUACUAGAAAACUGUUACUUUUUUAGAGGCAAGGGGGAAAAUUAUUAGUUAAUAUAGACGAAGGCAACAUUUUCUUUCUUUAUGAAUAUUUUGACUGCAUCCUAAUUUUUGCAGUUUUAGGAACUCGAAUUUAUUUUGUGUAAGAAAUUAUUUUUGAAAUGUCAAGUUCCACAUACGUAGUAUGUGCUCAGUAAAUAAUUCAUUAAAUGAGUAGUGAUGCUGCUGUUUCAUGCUGUUAGUUCCUGCUUAAAUUGUGGAAAAUCUAUUUAACUGACACUGUUCUUGAGAAUAUGAACUUCAGAAACUUGCUAUUAAAGAUGCUUUCUGUUUUUAAAAUAGAGUGAAUAUGUUUAUUUCACUUUUUAAGAUUAAAAAGGUAUGGUUUAUGUUGUCAGUAGAUUAAGAAUUACACUAUGAACUUGGUCAGGAAUAAAGACAUGGCAUUGGAGCAGCUACAGGACCCUUCUUUAAAUAGCUUGUGUUACACAAAGAAAAAAAAAAAUUCUGCACUGUAGAAAUGGUCACAGAAUUUGAUUGUUUGAAGUGGGAAAUUUUAGUGCCAAAACGAAAAUUUGGGUUUGUUACCCAUUUAAAGUUUGAACUUAAACACCUGUAUUCAGUGAAUAUAGUAAUGUUUGUGUGGUUUAUCUUAAAUGCCAGAAAAAAAAAUUGUUCAAAAAAUAAAGCUGUGACCUUUAAUAAUUAUUGAGUGGAUUUAAAUUUGGGGAAGGGAAGAUAGCAUAAGUGAUAAUUUUACAUCAGAGUAUAUUGGUAGAUGUGUUAUUAGACAUAUAGUUAUUUCUUUUAUUAAAGGGAAGGUCUGAAAGAAUUUGGUAUAGUAAUAUUAUUGAUAUACUUUAUGUAUUUUAUUGAUAAUUAAAAUAAUCAUCUGCCCUGAUUUCAAAGGAUAUUGUGUAAUAUGUCCUGAUGCUUGUUUAUCUGCAGCAUAUAAAGGGCUCAUGAUCUGAUUUUCAAUUUGAAGAGCUGACUUAAAGAUUAAGUUAGGAUUUUCUGGUCUUUAGAGUAACACGUGUAAAACCCCAGGCCUUUUACCCAGUGAAAACUAUAAUUGUACAUUAUAAUUUCCUUUCUUGAUUAUUUGUCCUUUUUGAGGAUGAUUUAAUUUCACCGUGGGCUGAUUCUGAAAAAUAACAUAUAACACUUUUACAGUGUUUUAUUUUUUAGCUGAAAACAUACAGUAUAUGUUACAGUAUAUGACGUUAUCGUUGAUCUCAUUCAUGAGGCAAAACAAAUAACUUUAUGAUAGCUGACAUUUCAUCAGAAGUCACUGGAAAAUAUGAAUGUGUAUUUACUGUUACUUGCUUGUCUUGAGUCGGUUGUAAUGUUUUUUCUUCAUCAAGCUCUUAAUUUUCUUUGUGUUAUGGUAAGACUGAAUUAGUCCCCUUGUGAUAGGCUGUGGGAGACUUUCCUACAGUGACCUUGAGGGAGAUGUUUCCCUCUGUAGGAGCAGAAAGUGAGGUACUCCAUUAGGGCAGCGUAUAGGAGGAAAGUUUGUUGAAAGGAUUGUCAAAAUGGAAAUGUUUAAGGUGUUUAAACCCCCGCCCCCCCCUUUAGAGGUUGUGAUAUCAGGUUCACUUUUCAGUAGAUUAAAUGUUGGCAUACCAUCUGAAAAUUUCCUUUGUUAGUGUUUGAAUCUAGGUAAUAAGAAAAGCUGGAAGGGGUGGGAUGUAUUUGUUUUGCAAGCCAUGUGUAUGUAUUGAGUAUGUCUCUCUCUGAUAUUUCUAUUUAGAAAGUUAUUUUAACUAGCAAGUAAAGUUUUACUUUUCCUCAUUCAAAUCAGACUUUUGUAACUGUACGUUUUUUCUUGUCCAAGUUUUUUUGGGGAAAUAAUUGUAAAGAGUGUUUCGUAGCUCUUCAUUUUUAAAAAGAAUAUAGUUUUACGUUCUUAAGUUACCGAUCAUUUUUGGGGGAAAAUUUUCAGAUGUAUAUGUAGGGUUUUGGAGAAUAUUUGUAUAGGGUCAGAAAAAUGAAUGUCCAUUAAAUGGCUCUUUAGAAAAAUUUUUUUAAGUAAUUUUUUUUUGUUUUGAGAUGACUGUAGGUACCAUUUACCUGCGUCUGCAAGAAACGGUGCCCAGAGAGCCUUUAUACCUUUUUACCCGCUUUCCUUCAAAGGUAACAUCUUGCAAAACUGUAGUUGAGUGUCACAGCCUGGUUAUUGAUGCUGAUGUUGUCAGGAUGCAAAGCAGUUAGUUCCAUCACCAAGAGGAUUCCUGAUGUUGCCUUCUUGUAGUGGCAUCCGCUUCUCCAUUACAGUAAUUAGAAAAAAAAAUUCCUGGUGGAAUGAUUAAACACUUACUUACUCUUUUAAACAUGGAGUAAAUUUUUCAAAUUGCCUGGCAUUAUUUGAACAUAUCAAGGAGAAAAUCAAGAAAGAGAAAACCAGAAUUUUACCAAUGUGUUCUUCUAACUGAAGUGUAGUAUAAAUAGGAAUGGUGAUUUUAAAAAGAGAGGAGGCUGGGUUUGGCCUUUUCACUGAGGGCGUUUUAAGGCUAUGAGUAGGGCCUGGUUCAUACUGUGUGCUUGUCAGCUUUGAAAUUUUUUAACUAUAUUUGUGGUAAGAAACACUUUUUAAAAUUUGUUAAGACUUAGUACUAUUAUUUGGGUAAAUGAAUCAUUUAGAUACUUGUUUUAGGUAAGCUUUAAUGAUGAAUGAAAGUAACUCCAGAGUCAGCAGACAAGGAGGAAAAAAAAUGUGUUAUUUUAGGAUGAAUAUGAUGUGCUGCUAGGUGGCUCAUCUCAGGUGAAGUAGCAAAGAAGUCUUUUAGAGAAAACCUGUGUAUGAAAAUACAAACCUGGAAAACAGAAAAAUUAGGGCGAGAAUAUAAGAUUGUGCUUUCCAGAACAGUUCCCUGUAGUGUUCCUUUAAAUGAUAAUUGCUUAUAAUGGAUUUAAAACACAGUUUGAUAGAUCACAGUAUUUUAGACAUUUAUUAUAUACAAUGAGGCAUACCUGUAUUGUUACUUUUAUCUGUUUUCGUUAGUAGUUUAAAAACAAAUGCAAGGUUCUGUUUUUUACGUUAUCCAAUAGAGUAUCUUUUCCUUUGAUUUAAAAAAAAAAAAUUCUGUUGGAAUGGUAAGAUAAAGAUGAAGAUAUUCAGCCUUGAAUAUAAACACAGUUUUUACACUUUAGAUUUAAUAAAAAACCAAACUCCUUGCCGUCGAGUUGAUUCCGACUCAUAGAGACCCUAUAGGACAGAGUAGAACUGCCCCAUGGGGUUUCCAAGGAGCACCUGGUGGAUUCGAACUGCUGACCCUUUGGUUAGCAGCCGUAGCGCUUAACCACUACGCCACCACGGUUUCCUUAGAUUUAAUGGAGGCAUUUAAAAUAUUCCUUCAUUAAAGCUAGAUAGUUUUGUCUGUUCUUGAACAAUUGGUAAUCUUGCUUGAAACGCCAUUGCCUGCUUAGCAUGUCAUACCUUGCUAACUCUUGCCACAGAGUGAAGUAAAGGGUCUGCUGGAAAAAGAGAAAAAGGUUAUUUCUGAAUAAUGUGGGAUACUUUUAUUUUCCUUUUAUCAAUUAAUAGGACUACUUUUGAGUAUCACUUGAAUUUUUUUUUUUUUUUUUUCUGGAUGGGAAUGUUGAAAUUGCAAACCUUAUGUUUUAGCAUUUAGGGAAUAAAAGGAAAAAACAAACAGUUAAAUAUAUAUCAGUUCAAAAGGCAAAAGAAUGAUAUUCAGCCUUUUUGAACAGCUGAGCUGUAUUUAUCUUGGAUUUGUCAGUCAACCACUUAUUUAUUAUUUACUUUGUGAAGCCAGUAUUCUAGUAGCUUUUGAGAAGGUGAGAAAUGAAGAAGGUAGGCAAAAGGAAGUGGAAACAUUUUAUUGUCUAGAUGGGAAGAUAAAAUGUAAAAUCAUGAGGGAGCUAAAUUUCUGUAACAUAAAAACUGCCAACAACUAUACACUAAUAUAGCUUAAACUGAAUCCAUAAAAGUAAGUUUGUUGAGAAGUGGGACAGGCUUAACGAAAACUCAGACGGGAUGAAUUUAGAGUUACCUGUGAAGGUGAUGUGGAAAAUGAGUUAGGGAAGAGAACUGACCUCUCAGAUGUGACCUGGAAGUGGGAGUUUAACUUGAUGCAAGUGCCUGUAGAGAUCAGAGAAAGAGCAGCUGGCUCUUACUGAUCACUGUGCCUGGAGUACUGUUUUCAGGGGCCAUCCUGAAAAUCCUGGCUUUGCGCUUUUACUAGCUGGAUGAUCUUGGCUAAGUUACUUAACCUCUCUCUGGCUGUUUCUUCAUCUGUAAAGUAGGACUACUAAUAGUAGCUGUCUUACUGGGUUUUAAGACAGCCCCAAGAACGGCGCCAAGGACAUAGUAAGCUGUGGUGGAGUAAAUUGUUAGUGGUGAGGGACUGACUAGCAGUGAGGAAGGCGUUUACUUAGGAGCCUUCCCUGCUCAUCUGGGGGGUAAGUUGAUGAAGGUCCGGACUCGGCGUUAGUGUAGGAAGUAAGAAGGAACAAUACCAGGGUAGAAGAUAGAACUUGAAGGGUUGGAUUUCUGAAGGUAAGAGAAGCGGCUCAAGGUUGUAGUUCUGGCAUAAUUGGAGGGUGGCAGUGCUGGAGAAAUUAAAGAUGCUGAAUUGUUUUGAGCAUUUUAAAAUUCAUAGGACUUGGGACUCUUCUUGCUAAUCUGGGGGUAAGAUGGGGGAAGAGUGCUGGGAGAUGAGUUGAAGAUGUUGGUUUUAAACAAACAAACAAACAAAAACCAGCUUUCUUUCUGGCUAUGAAAUAAAUACAUGGUCUCUGAUGAGAAAAUUGGAGAAGAAAUAAGGGAAAAAAAAAUCACUCCAUUUUACUACCCAACAAAAAUUACUGUUUUGAUUUAUUUCCUUUUAAUCAUUUUCUCCUAAUAGUCCUGUGUUUACAGAAUUAAGAGUUUACUGAAGGUUUCAUAUUAUGUUCUGCUUUUUUUUUUUCCAUUUUAUAUUAUAGCGUAUUUCCCUAUGUCAUUAAAGAGCCUUUGUAAACGUGGUUUAAAAUUGUUGCAUGGUAUGACAUAGGAUGCAUGUACCAUACUUAUUUCACCACUUCUCUUACUGCUUGACGUUUUGGGUUUUUGUUUGUUAAUUUACUUUUUGUUAGAAUUUGCCUUUUGAUAUUAUGAAUAAUGUGGUAGAGAGUACCUUUUUGUGUACGUAAACAUUUUUGCCUCCACUUCAGUUUCCUUUGGAUGGGAGAUACAGAUUUUGUUUUGUGUGCCUACAAGUUAUAAUUAAAGCUAAGUGAGUGAACGAAUUCCCCUAAGGAAAUGAACUCAGAGGGAGAUAAAUUAUCAGGCCAAGGAUUGAUGUGUUUUUUUUUUUUUGCUUGAGGAUUGAUGCUGAUGGUGGUGAUAAAGGUAUAAAAUUAGAGAUUUGGUUGAUUAUUUAACAUAAAAAUACAAAUUUUUAUUAGCGUAUGAAUGGAGCACAUGAUGAUAUUUGGUACAGAUAAUAUUUUUGUAUAAAUGGAUUAUGUGGUGUCUAGAUGGAAUUCCUGUCAUUCUUUGACCUGUGCUUAUUGAGAUGUAGUGUAAAUCCAGUUGGAGUCUGUCAUUGAGAGAACCCUUGAAUUCCUGUUUUUUUUUUUUUUUUUUAAUGAAAGAAGCAGUGUAGUAUAGUGGAAAGAGUUGGGUUCAGGAGCCAGACAACAAGGUUGGAAUUGCUUUCUGACUUACUGGCGGGGUGGGCCUAGCAGGUCAUUUAAAGUAUCUGAGCCACAGCUUUCUCCUUUGUGAAGAGUGGAUAAUGCUUACCUUCAGAAUCCUUGUGGGAAUCAAAUAUGGUUAUCUCUGUAUUUGCUUGCCACAAAGCUGCUUCAAAACUGCUAGCUGCCAACAUUAUUGUGUCAUUUUCUUAAGUAAUUUUAAUAAUAUUAAUUAUUAACAAAAAUAAUUAUGGCCUAUGUUUAUUGAAUUACUGUUAUAUUCUGUGUACUCUUCUAAGUAAUUUAGGGCAUUAUCUCGUCUUACUUUGGAUACAACAAGAUUUUCCUCAUAGCAGUGGUGGUGGGAAAAUGUCCCCACAAGGGCAACUUAUCAAAGUUGUUUUUUUAGUGCUGUAAAAUUAUAUAUAUCUUGUUAAAAGUCUAAGAAGAAAUCAGGCACAAAAGGACUUUUCUUUUAAGUUGAUUUUUUCCUAAUACUGUAAUUUGGAAGACUAGGAAUUGUAUAGUGUAAACUAGUCAACGAAAUGUGUACACCCUCUGAAAACUCUCUUUCCGCUUCGGCACUGCCACUUGCAUGUAGUGUUUGCUCCAUAUUUUCUCUCCAGCUGCUUGAAAUCCUUUUUGGAAUGAGGUAUAGUCUAAAUAAAUACAUACAAUAAAAAUUAUGUGGCCUGAGAGGAUAGAAUAGCUGGGAGACAGGUUGGAGAGAAUGUUAAGAGUCUCUAGGGUAGAGCUUCUCUACUUUUUCCUUAUUGGCAGAGUGGAAAAGGAACACCCCCACCCCAUAACCUGAAGCAGCACAUCACAAGUGAGCAGAAGAAAUCUUAUCUUGAAAAUUCACGUACACCUUAAUUUUCUCCUCUGUAGAACAUAAAAAAAAAAAAAAAAAUUUUUUUUUUUUUUUUAGCACAAGCAAGUUUAUUCUAAUAUAAACAUUUUAAUUAAUCAUUAUGAAAACUUAAGUUCCAGGAAGAUACACUGUGUUUGGCUUAUGUUGACGUUUUCCUCUCUUGUAUCGCUUUGUGUCUUUGGGGCGGAAGGGUGGAGUGGGAUGUUGGCCUUUGCUGCCUAUUCCUCAGUGAGGAGCCCAGCUCAACAGUAUAGUUUUUAGCUGCCUUUAACCAUUCCUGGAUCUCUUCUUGCAUCCCCAGAAGUUUAUGAAAAAAGGAUCAUUACAUGAGAGGAGAAAACCGUCUGUAGGUAGGAAAUGUUAUUUCCAUGAACUGAAGCAUGAGAUAUUUGUUAGUAACGUAACUGCAAUUUGUACCAGCAUUUUCUCUUUCCAGCCAGAUCAUCCUGUAAUUUUUUAACAUAUGCUUUUUUGGGGAAGGAAAUGUAUAUUUUUUCACAGAGUGUUUUUUUUUUUCCUUUCGGUUCCAUGUUAAAAAUGUACUCUCAUACGGACAGACCGUUGUGAGUCAUUCAAGCUACUGUGAGCUGGUUGGGAACUUAGAGAUCCCAUAGAAAUGAAAACAGAUUAGGGAUUGAUUAUUAAUGUUUAUUGCAUUGGGUGGUGACUUGGAUGAAACCUUCAAAAUAAUAAAACAAUUUGAGAUAAGGUGCAGGACAGAAAAUAGUAUACUUUAAAGGCUCUGUUUCAGCCUGUAGGAAGUGCUUCGAUUUGGACUGAUGGGGUUUCUCUGAAUUUGUGGUAAUCUAAUUGAUGAAAGAUCAUUCCAGUUUCCAAAUGCUAGUCUGUCUGGAGGCAGCCACUCCCAAGCCUCACUCAGAAGUUGUUGGGAAGUUUAUUUGCUUUCUGGUAGUUUUGCCGGUGAGCCAUCGUGAGGCUUUAAAAAAUGAGCAGGACCAACUCAUAAUUGCUCUCCCACCACUUCGUGGGUGACUAAUGUAGAGAACACGGGGUGACUUACAUGAUCCCGGCAGCUCCAAUCAAUGAGCAAAGGCCUGCUGCUCUUGGAGAGAGUUAGUGGUCGUGGAGUGCCAUGGGGAGCCCCACGGGGUGUUACCAUCAUCCAGCCUCUCAGUCCUGGAGGCAUAUGUUCUUGUUUCCAUGUUGCUGGGGGAUAAAGAAGAGGUUUGCUUCUUGCUCAUCUCACUGUGAACUUAUUGGCAGGAGCAUGGCUUAGACGCAUGUGAGCUAAGAGAAGGUGAGCUUGUAUGGCCCCUCCUAGACCAGGGCUGAGCUCCCUCGUGUUAGCAGGUCCUCCUAGAUUUUUGCUGUUUGGUAGCCCUACUGUAUGUAGCUGAUUUUAUCAUUUGGUGAGAGGCCCAUUUGCUUAUCUGGUAGGUUGUUGACAUGCUAAAGUUUUGGAAAAUAUUUUUCUCUGUGGUUCCCAGUUUGAAAUAAAGUUAAAGGGAAGGGUGUGUUUCAUGUAGAAUCUCUUAGUGGGUGCAUAAAGACAACUUGAAUUGGUGAUACCUUUUUUCCAAUGAGGUGGUAUUUAGAGCCAUUUCAAGACUGUCCUAAGUAUCCUAAAUAUUGAUGGCUAGCUUUUUUUUUUUUUUUUUUUACUCUAGGUCAUGUUGUUGUUAGGUGCCAUCGAGUCAAUUCCGACUCAACAACUCUGUGUACAACAGAAUGAAACACUGCUCAGUCAGAACCAAAAUUUUGGGUAAAGGAAUGUACUUUUCCCAAUCAGUUAUAAGCAUGCAUGGAAAUUUUCAGAGUACUGUCAGGAGAGUAAGGAACCCUGGUGGAGCAAUGGUUAAGCACUUGGCUGCUAACCAAAAGAUUGGCACUUCAAACCCACCAGGCACCCCUGUGGGAGGAAAAGACCUGACAAUCUGCUCCCAUAAAGAUUACAGUCUAGGAAACUCUAUGGGGCGGUUCUCCUCUGUCGCUAUGAGAUGGAAUUGACUUGAUGGCAAACAACAUCAGAAGAACAGAAUUAUUUUAACCCCCAUCAUUUAUAUAACUAACAUUACGUGAUCACGUCCAAAAGGAGCCUGAACCCUGAUUGUACCCUUUUUGAAUUAUAAGUGUUGCCUGAGAAGAAAAAGAGAAGAAAAUCAUACCAAGCCUACCAUCCUCCUGAAGAAAAGGGAUGCAAGACAGGAGAUGUCAACACAGUCUCAAGUGUCCGCCUGAUCCAAGAAGCUCACUCCUCACCAGCAUCCCUCUCCAUCCCAUUGUCUAGUCCAAUCCCUGUCUGAAGAGUUGGCAACAGAAUUCUUAAUGGAUUAAAAUGAAAAGACUAAAGUACUAACUUUUAUAAUGUUGAUGGGGUGAUGGUUAGUCCAUUUUGUAUUUUCAUUUAUUUAAAGGAGAAAAACCUGUUGAUGUUGAGUCAUUUCUGACUGGCAACCCCAUGUUUGUCAGACUAAAACUCUGCUCCACAGGGUUUUCGUGACUGUGACCUUUCUAAAGAAGAUCCCCAGGCCUUUCUUCCAAAGUGCCUCUGGGUAGAUUUGAAUUGCCAACUUUUUGGUUUGGUUAGUUAGCCAAGUGCAAAAUGUUUGCGCCACCAGGUGACACAUUCAAAGUAAAGUAGACUGGACUGUAAUUUGGUUGUAGGUAUCUGAGACAAAAACCAAACCCAUUGCGGUCAAGUCGAUUCCAAUUCAUAGCAGUCAUAUAGGACAGAGUAGAACUGCCCUACCGGGCUUCUAAGGCUAUAAUCUUUAUGGAAGCAUACGGUCACAUCUUUCUUCCUCGGAGCAGUUAGUGGGUUCUAACUGCUGACCUUUUGGUUAGCAGCUGAAUGCUUCAACCAUUGCACCACGGGGGCUCCUGGUAUUUGAAACAGGGCCUGUUAAUACAGUUGUUUCUUUAUUGGUGUGUGUAGAAUGGUUUUGUUUACUUGAAAAUAGUAGAGAAUAGAGAGGUACAUUGUGGAUAUCGGGGAAAGGAAGGAGUUUGGAGUCAGAAGGCUUUGGUUUGGUCUUGGCAUUAUCCUUUACUAGCUUCGUGAUGCUAGGGCAGUGUGUUAACCUCCCUGAGUCUGCUUCGUUACUGCUGUUAGCUGGUGUUGAGUCAGCCCCCCGCUCAUGCCUGAUCCUGCACCAUCUGUGUGAUCCCUUCUGGGUCGGACCGUUGUGAACCAGAGAGUUUUCACUGGCUGAUUUUCGGAAGUAGAUUGCCAGGCCUUUCUUCCUAGAAACAUGUUCAGCACCAUAGCAACAUGCAAGCCUCCACUGAGGGGCGGGUGGUGGCUGCACAUGGGCUGCACUGUCCAGGAAUCAAUCCCACGUCUUCCUCAUGGAAGAUGAGAAUUCUCUCACUGAG
Long non-coding RNA from Loxodonta africana (African savanna elephant), 10191 nucleotides. RefSeq lists it as uncharacterized. NCBI's taxonomy places the organism in Eukaryota, Metazoa, Chordata, Mammalia, Proboscidea, Elephantidae. The transcript has 2 exons. The record is from RefSeq and is a predicted model, not a curated record.